Molecule: ribosomal RNA, 864 nt
Filed under: uncultured archaeon
Lineage: Archaea
Description: bacterial SSU rRNA
Rfam family: Archaeal small subunit ribosomal RNA
Source: RNAcentral
UGAUACUAAGCCAUGCGAGUCAUUGUAGCAAUACAAGGCAUACGGCUCAGUAACGCGUAGUCAACCUAACCUAUGGACGGGAAUAACCUCGGGAAACUGAGAAUAAUGCCCGAUAGAACAUUAUGCCUGGAAUGGUUUAUGUUCCAAAUGAUUUAUCGCCGUAGGAUGGGACUGCGGCCUAUCAGUUUGUUGGUGAGGUAAUGGCCCACCAAGACUAUUACAGGUACGGGCUCUGAGAGGAGUAGCCCGGAGAUGGGUACUGAGACACGGACCCAGGCCCUAUGGGGCGCAGCAGGCGAGAAAACUUUGCAAUGUGCGAAAGCACGACAAGGUUAAUCCGAGUGGUUUCUGCUAAAGGAACCUUUUGUCAGUCCUAGAAACACUGAUGAAUAAGGGGCGGGCAAGUUCUGGUGUCAGCCGCCGCGGUAAAACCAGCACCUCAAGUGGUCAGGAUGAUUAUUGGGCCUAAAGCAUCCGUAGCCGGCUCUGUAAGUUUUCGGUUAAAUCUGUACGCUCAACGUACAGGCUGCCGGGAAUACUGCAAAGCUAGGGAGUGGGAGAGGUAGACGGUACUCGGUAGGAAGGGGUAAAAUCCUUUGAUCUAUUGAUGACCACCUGUGGCGAAGGCGGUCUACCAGAACACGUCCGACGGUGAGGGAUGAAAGCUGGGGGAGCAAACCGGAUUAGAUACCCGGGUAGUCCCAGCUGUAAACCAUGCAAACUCAGUGAUGCAUUGGCUUGUGGCCAAUGCAGUGCUGCAGGGAAGCCGUUAAGUUUGCCGCCUGGGAAGUACGUACGCAAGUAUGAAACUUAAAGGAAUUGGCGGGGGAGCACCACAAGGGGUGAAGCCUGCGGUUCAAUUGG